AGUUAAUAGAUCGGAACUAAUUUUAAUCUAAAUAACCAUUUAUCGACUUUUGAAACGUUUUAAUUUCAACUGGCUUCGUUUUUAUGGAAGUACGUCACUGUUAAUGAUGCUCCCUACGUCACACCUCAGAAACUGGAAAUAAUGUCAUAUAACACCAGGAAGCGGUGAAGAAGUCACACACAUGGGUCUUACAGUUGGGAUGUGGCAUUACUGCAGCGUCCAGCGUCAAUCUCCUGGCUUGGUGGCUGGAUGCAGAGCUGGGAAGCUGCAAAUUAAAGCAACAAAAGAAGAAGAAAUGCCCUGAAAGCAGCCAUACAACCCGAUGCUGGGAUCAACGCCCCAUUAGUCUGUAAAAUAGUUUUUAUACUCACCUGAAACUUACAUUUUUUUUCCAGGAUGAGAGUUUGUUGUCAUCCUACCUGAGCUGUUUUCCCAGAAAUGAAAAAAAAGUCUGCUUUUUGGUUUAUCUUGGGGCAGGAAAAAAAGACAAAACAACCACUGAAACCAAACAGACUCUGACGGACACAGUAAAAAACCCCAGCAGCCUUGACGUUUCUUACCAAGUCAACAAACUUCAUCCUGCUGAAGACGACUGCCGUCUGCAAACACCUGGAAACUGAGCAAACUUAAGAGACUGGACAAUAAAAAAAAAAACAGUGUGGUCUUGUUUAUGAUGAAAUUUUUGAUGUUAUAAAAUGGAAACUCUUAAUAUCAAAGCUUUCUUUGCUGGUAAAGUCUGUGAAAAAAGUACAAAUAAAAUAAAGGCGCAUCAAUCAAGAGAAUACAUAAAUUAUAUGUAUUUAGUGAAUAGCACUACAUGUUGGUUAUGUCCCUUUGUCUCGACUUUGAAAUGUAUUCUCUGAAAUGUCCUGCCAUUGGUUGAUUAUUAGUGUUUGCCAUUGAGUAUCUUGUUAUCUGACAAUAUUGUAAAGAAAAAGAAAAAAUAUGAAUAACCGAGUCUGGUUUUGUUUUGUAAGCUGACAUUUUUCACUUUAACGCUUUAAAAACCACCACAACACAUUUAAUACAAACGUUAAUAGUUUAUAUGGCUAAAUAAAAAGCCUUCGGAAGUCGGAAAACAGAUGUUUUAGCUAAGCUAAGCUAGCUAGAAAAAGCAAGCUAAUAGCGCUAUUAGCUUGGUUAGCAUCGGGAUUUAUACGAAACAGCUAACCUGAGUAACACAAAUAAAACUACCAAUAUCUGAGAUGAAACAUAAUUAGCUAGUUUAAAACUUUACAACGAACAUUAAUUAGUUUUAAAAAGCGGUCUGUUCAAUUCACGUUUUCAGGUUUGAUAUGUAGGCCGCAAGUGCUUUAAAUAGUCUGAGGUUCGACUCCCGAUCUAGGACUUACCUCCUUCUUUUUGCCCAUUUCCUGUCCACUUACUGUGAAUAAAAGCAGUUGAUUUAACAAACACAUCAUUUUAUCUAAUUGGUUGGUUUCACGAUUCAAAAUUUCUGCAAUUUAACCCAGAAAUAUGUAGUAAUAUGCUGCGUGCUGGAUGUAAAAAUGCUAAUCUUGCUAGUUGUUUCACAUAUUUCACACCAAAUUACAGCUAACGCUUAAGAAAUCGGACAUUUAAUUACAUUAAUUUAACAUUUAAAAACUUUACAUUUGGUGUUAAAAUUAGGAAAGUGUUAGCAUUUAUUCCUCUGCUGUAAAUUUACCUUUUUUAAACUAACUUGUUGAACUAAACUGUACAAUUAGCUUAGCUAAAGUUAGCAUUAGGAUUCAAGAAACACUUUUCCUGAUAUUGCCGUAUUAAACUAAAUUAAAUACAUCUACUUACAAAAAUUAAAAACUUUGAACUACACAUUCAUUUACUAUCCUUGGAGAUAUUUACUUUAAGCUAAGCUAGUUUUCUGCUCCAAACAGUAGGUUAGUGAAGCUAAAGUUAGCAAAGAACUCGAUAAAAAGCAAGUCUUAAAAAACUGUCUAGUGCUAAAGACAAAUCAUUGGCAAAGAUGAAGAAAAUAUAAAAGUAAAAAAUAACCCUGAAUUAGUUUCCAAAAAAUAAAGCUUUACUUUAAGCCACGGUUAAUACAGGUAUUUUUUUAGAAUACCAAGCCUGAGCAAUAUGAAUAAAUCUGAAAAUAUCUUAGGCUAAACACACUUUUUUCAUUAAAAUUUAGCAACAAGUUGACAGAAACCCAACAUUUAAUUUUUUGGGGGGAAAAACGUAUUAGCUUUUAUAGCUAACUGAUCUGAUUCAAGCGUGAUCCGUUUGUAGUCAGAACUCAGAAAAUCCGACUGGAACACACCAAAGAAGUCGGACACUUUCUCAAACGCCGACUUCCAGAUCCAAUAUGGCUGCUGUCCGCAUCAACAAUGGUGACCUGCAGUAAAAACGUUUAUUUUGAUGAUGGCCCACUUAGGCAUGUCAGCUCCAAUUCUAACUGUAAUUGUUUACAUCACUGAUUAUUAUUAGCUAUUGAACAACUAAAAAUGUUUGUGUGAAUGUACCUGGUAAGUGAAAGCACAGAUUCUGAUACUAAAGAUUGUGAAAAUUUCUUAAAUGACAAUUUGAAAACCACUCAGAGCGAAUGAAGCCAUUUUCCCCAUGUUAUAAGUGGAGAAUAAUUUACUUAAAACAAGUAGAAAAGUUACUUUUAUGCUAAUUUUGUCUUUUUUUCAAGAAUACCAAGACAUUUGUACUAGAAACUAGAAAAUUUGGGGGUUUUUUUAGUGAAGAAAACCUACUGAAAAACCUGCCAAAUUCUGAGAAAUUCAUGUAAAAAUAUGGCUAUAUGAAGUAAUUCUGAUGUAAAACAGAAAGCAGGGGGCAAAUACUUUCCCAGAUAAUUAUUCCCCCCCAAAAUGUUCAGACAAAUGUUGCCACAAGUGAUAUAAAACUGUCAUUACAGUGAUUUAUUACAAUGAACCAUGAAAAUAGCCAACCAGUGCAGUGUCUGUGAGUCUCUCUCCACCACACAAACGCAACACUCACACACACAAAUAAAAAAAAAAAUUAAAAAAAAAGAGACAAAGUUGAAGAGUCAAUAAAAGGGAAGAGAAAAAUAAAAAAUAAAAUAAAAAUAAUGCUACAGUCACAGAAACAUUCAGCUUUGCCGAGAACAGCGUUCAUAUUUACAACCAUAUCUUAAAAUGGGACUUUAUGGGUCGGGUCAUCAGGGUCGGAUGAGAGCAAAUUGUACAAGCAUAGAAAA
Xiphophorus couchianus (Monterrey platyfish) is the source of this 3166-nucleotide long non-coding RNA. RefSeq lists it as uncharacterized. The record is from RefSeq and is a predicted model, not a curated record. The transcript is spliced from 3 exons. Lineage: Eukaryota; Metazoa; Chordata; Actinopteri; Cyprinodontiformes; Poeciliidae.